CUACGCCACCUCCAGUAGUAGAAACAACCAGCUGGUAUGAUUGAGUGGAAUCAGCCAACAGUAACACGGAAGCAGCAAUGUGAGAGUCAGUAGUGCAUGACCUUGAACGGUAAUAAUAGGAAGCUUCCGUUUAACACACAGGCCUAAGAUUACGUAGGUCUACAGCCCCAGUGGGAACUUCCCCUUUAAAAAGAUAUAUAAAGAGAACAGAGAUCAUAAGACAGUAUGAUCCUCACUAACAUAUGAAACAGACUUCAUAUGGAGAAUCAUCAUAGGUAAAUUUACUAUUGCACUAUACGCUUUUUGAUAGAGUAAAACAAUAUUUUGGGAACCGGAUAAUUGUGCUUAAGUACUUAUUGGGUCAUACUCUGAAGAAGCUGGUUGAAUCUUGUGAACCUGACUGAGUCUCCGAAAAACAGAGGUCUAACCACCUCUUGAUCACAUAGACAAAGCGGGCGUUCGCAUUUUUGACACCAGAAACCAGAGGUGAUUAGCAAUUCAAGGAAAAAUAGCCAAGUACCAGUUCCAAUAUAUUGAGUCCAUACACAGAGUUGGAAGUGUAUAGAGAUACUGGAAUUCGGAAUCUAGCGUCAUAGCUGUGAGAAUACCGAUUACGGGAAAGUGACCAAGGGGCUGAGCAUUUAAGGUCCUCCAGGGUGUCUGAAGCAAUGUCCAGUGCCUGGCCAGGGUGAAUUGACAUCUGCUGGGAGUGGACGGUGAACACAUAUGGCCUGGAACUCUUCCCAUCCUUCUGAACCACUACAGAGAGAUAUGGAGAGAGGAAGAGACGGAGAGAGCGAGAGAGAGAGAGUUACACAUACACACACUCUUAUUUCCAGUGGUGUAAAGUACUUAAGUAAAAAUACUUUAAAGUGCUACUUAAAUACUUUUUGGGGAAAAUCAAGAGAACAUCCCUGGUCAUCCCUACAUCCUCUGUUCUGGCGGACUCACUAAACACAAAUGCUUCGUUUGUAAAUUAUGUCUGAGUGUUGGAUUGUGCCCCUGGCUAUCUGUCAAUAAAAAAACUUGAAAUUUGUGCCAUUAAUAUAAGUAAUUU
Long non-coding RNA from Oncorhynchus nerka (sockeye salmon), 1057 nucleotides. RefSeq lists it as uncharacterized. The record is from RefSeq and is a predicted model, not a curated record. The transcript is spliced from 3 exons. NCBI's taxonomy places the organism in Eukaryota, Metazoa, Chordata, Actinopteri, Salmoniformes, Salmonidae.